AGUGAACGCUGGCGGUAGGCCUCAUGCAAGUCGAACGGCAGCACAGUAAGAGCUUGCUCUUACGGGUGGCGAGUGGCGGACGGGUGAGGAAUACAUCGGAAUCUACUUUUUCGUGGGGGAUAACGUAGGGAAACUUACGCUAAUACCGCAUACGACCUACGGGUGAAAGCAGGGGAUCUUCGGACCUUGCGCGAUUGAAUGAGCCGAUGUCGGAUUAGCUAGUUGGCGGGGUAAAGGCCCACCAAGGCGACGAUCCGUAGCUGGUCUGAGAGGAUGAUCAGCCACACUGGAACUGAGACACGGUCCAGACUCCUACGGGAGGCAGCAGUGGGGAAUAUUGGACAAAGGGCGCAAGCCUGAUCCAGCCAUACCGCGUGGGUGAAGAAGGCCUUCGGGUUGUAAAGCCCUUUUGUUGGGAAAGAAAAGCAGCAGGUUAAUACCCCGCUGUUCUGACGGUACCCAAAGAAUAAGCACCGGCUAACUUCGUG
RNAcentral lists this ribosomal RNA (488 nucleotides) under uncultured bacterium. RNAcentral's name for it is "partial 16S ribosomal RNA". It matches the Rfam family "Bacterial small subunit ribosomal RNA", at positions 29 to 507 of the family's 1533-position model. The record is from RNAcentral.